CGUAGGUAAAGUUUAUGCAAGGCGGGGCCUUCGAGUUGAGGAAAAUAGCAACGUCAAAGAAGAUAAGUAGAUAGGAAUACAGAUGCACCUGACACAUAUUUAGGGCAUUUAAAUAGUCAGUAGUUUAAUUUCACUAGAAUUCUUUAUUUAGUAGGUCUCUUAUAUCUGUAGACUCCUAGUUAUGCUUAAUAGCUUUGUAAUAAGACUCUAUUUAAAGAGACAGAAGGAAUAAAGAAAAGAGGCAAGCUUUAUAUUAAAAACAAGAGAUUUGAGACUCUCUCUACAGAGUUCUAAGAUUAUAGGCUCCCUUUAACGAGCUUAUUUAUUGUUAUCAAAAAUAGGUCGCUCACGGAAUAGAAACAAGGGAAAGGAUCUGUUCAACACAGACUUUCCAGUGAAUCGCCCUGUGACAAGAUCCAUUCUG
This 424-nucleotide long non-coding RNA is filed under the name Nicotiana benthamiana. Its description in RNAcentral is "long non-coding RNA (NBEN_LNC006277)". Lineage: Eukaryota; Viridiplantae; Streptophyta; Magnoliopsida; Solanales; Solanaceae. The record is from RNAcentral.